UGAGGAAUAUUGGACAAUGGGUGAGAGCCUGAUCCAGCCAUCCCGCGUGAAGGAUGACGGUCCUAUGGAUUGUAAACUUCUUUUGUAUAGGGAUAAACCUUUCCACGUGUGGAAAGCUGAAGGUACUAUACGAAUAAGCACCGGCUAACUCCGUGCCAGCAGCCGCGGUAAUACGGAGGGUGCAAGCGUUAUCCGGAUUUAUUGGGUUUAAAGGGUCCGCAGGCGGGCCGAUAAGUCAGUGGUGAAAUCUCAUAGCUUAACUAUGAAACUGCCGUUGAUACUGUCGGUCUUGAGUAAAUUAGAGGUAGCUGGAAUAAGUAGUGUAGCGGUGAAAUGCAUAGAUAUUACUUAGAACACCAAUUGCGAAGGCAGGUUACCAUGAUUAAACUGACGCUGAGGGACGAAAGCGUGGGGAGCGAACAGG
RNAcentral lists this ribosomal RNA (424 nucleotides) under uncultured bacterium. RNAcentral's name for it is "bacterial SSU rRNA". It matches the Rfam family "Bacterial small subunit ribosomal RNA", at positions 355 to 776 of the family's 1533-position model. The record is from RNAcentral.